UCCUUUGUGGCUCAGAUGGUAAAGUAUCUGCCUGCAGUGCAGGAGACCCAGGUUCUAUCCCUGGCUCGGGAA
This 72-nucleotide transfer RNA is filed under the name Ovis aries (sheep). It matches the Rfam family "tRNA". Rfam says of the family: Transfer RNA (tRNA) molecules are approximately 80 nucleotides in length. Their secondary structure includes four short double-helical elements and three loops (D, anti-codon, and T loops). Further hydrogen bonds mediate the characteristic L-shaped molecular structure. tRNAs have two regions of fundamental functional importance: the anti-codon, which is responsible for specific mRNA codon recognition, and the 3' end, to which the tRNAs corresponding amino acid is attached (by aminoacyl-tRNA synthetases). tRNAs cope with the degeneracy of the genetic code in two manners: having more than one tRNA (with a specific anti-codon) for a particular amino acid; and 'wobble' base-pairing, i.e. permitting non-standard base-pairing at the 3rd anti-codon position. The record is from Rfam by way of RNAcentral. Lineage: Eukaryota; Metazoa; Chordata; Mammalia; Artiodactyla; Bovidae.